CAAGUCGAACGAUGAAGUUCCUUCGGGAAUGGAUUAGUGGCGAACGGGUGAGGAACACGUGAGAAACCUGCCUUUCAUUCUGGGAUAACACCGGGAAACCGGUGCUAAUACCGGAUACUCCGUCUUGGCGGCAUCGCCGAGCCGGGAAAAAAUUUUGAUGAAAGAUGGUCUCGCGGCCUAUCAGCUAGUUGGUGAGGUAAUGGCUCACCAAGGCGACGACGGGUAGCCGGCCUGAGAGGGCGACCGGCCACACUGGGACUGAGACACGGCCCAGACUCCUACGGGAGGCAGCAGUAGGGAAUAUUGGGCAAUGGGCGCAAGCCUGACCCAGCGACGCCGCGUGAGGGAUGAAGGUCUUCGGAUUGUAAACCUCUUUCAGUAGGGAAGAAGCGAAAGUGACGGUACCUAAAGAAGAAGCACCGGCUAACUAUGUGCCAGCAGCCGCGGUAAUACGUAGGGUGCAAGCGUUGUCCGGAAUUAUUGGGCGUAAAGAGCUCGUAGGUCGUUUGUCGCGUCGAUUGUGAAAAUCUGAGGCUCAACCUCAGACCUGCAGUCGAUACGGGCAAACUAGAGUGUGGUAGGGGAGACUGGAAUUCCUGGUGUAGCGGUGGAAUGCGCAGAUAUCAGGAGGAACACCAAUGGCGAAGGCAGGUCUCUGGGCCAUAACUGACACUGAGGAGCGAAAGUGCGGGGAGCGAACAGGAUUAGAUACCCUGGUAGUCCGCACCGUAAACGGUGGGCACUAGUUGUGGGAACCUUCCACGGUUUCCGCGACGCAGCAAACGCAUUAAGUGCCCCGCCUGGGGAGUACGAUCGCAAGAUUAAAACUCAAAGGAAUUGACGG
Molecule: ribosomal RNA, 844 nt
Filed under: uncultured bacterium
Lineage: Bacteria
Description: bacterial SSU rRNA
Rfam family: Bacterial small subunit ribosomal RNA
Source: RNAcentral